GCACAAAAAGAAAAACUUGGAAAUAAGAAAAGAAAUGUAAAAUUGCAUACAUAUAUACCUACAGCUCUAUUUACAACGGGCCACUGCCAUUUACAUACGGCCAGGGUCAGCGAACAAAGAAAAAUUAGCCAAACGACAACAAAAAAAACGGAAUAAAACUAACUCUACAAAAACUUUCACUCAGCGCCACCCGCGCCACUCUCAAUGCCACCUGCGCCACCAUCAGUGCCCUCGGAGCCAUCAUCAUCCCCUGGAGUGGCCGGAUCGAAGCCACAGCCAAGACAAGCAUCACGGGCCUUCUGAGGGUCCCCCUCAUAAACAUCUUCAUGAACAACGUCGGCCUCCCACAAUUUCUUAUACACGUUGAGCUGGGCCUCAGCAAACAACCAAAGAUCUCGAACGGGGCCAUAAGAGGCAGCUAGGUCCCUCAGGCACUGAUUCUCGGCCUCCAAGGCCGUAAUAUUAUCUACCGCAAUCUAGGCAUCCCGUUCGUAAAUUCUAAUGCGUUCCUCCAACCCCGCCGCUCUGAAAGCCGCAGCAGAUUUCUCCAGCUCUCGUUCCCUCUCGCGUACACGGACCGCCACCUACAAUGCCCCAGCCUUCGUCGAAGCAUCCCUGGCUUGCAGCCUCGAAGUAGUGAGCUCCUCGUCCAACUUAACCACCUGUCUAAUCAAGGUCUUCUACUUCCAAAUGGAAUGUCUGCAAGGCAAAAACAACAGUUAAAAUAGGAGGCAAAUCAAGGCAUGAAAAUAAACGAAACAAGAUCAUCACACGUACCCUAAAAUCCAUCACGGCCGCCUCAGUCAUUAGUCCGACGUUUGUAACGUCCCUCAGCGACAUGCUCAUCUCCUAGGAGCACAAAAGCGCAAAUAUCGGAACCAGAUUUUCCUCCUCAAGCAACAGGUUCUGCUCGGUAGGAAUCUCAGCAUACCGAUAUGGCCCCUCUGCAUGCGCUAUCGCAUUGAUGAAGCUUUCUUGGAUCAUGCGGACGUCGUCCGGAUCCAAGUUAGAUUCGGAGUAAACUUCCCCUCCCGCGAUGCCCCUUCCUUCCUUAAUCGGCCGAGAGGUCGAGGCUCCCUCCCCAGCCAAUGGGUUGACACUCACUUCUCCCACCAAAGCAGUUGUUGAGGAACCACCUUCCACCUCAACAGUUGGAACUGAUAAUUGAGUCGCCGAAGCGACGGUUUCAUUACGGCCUGAGCCGACCGGGGCAGCCCCCAUUGUAUUUUUGCCCUCAAGGGCAGGCACAGCCGCCUCAUUCUCCUCCACAUCCGACGGCGGGGAGUCCAAAUGUACCACCUCUGCUUUAUAUGUGAAGGCAACCCUAUGCCUAACCAACGACCUCUCCUCCUCUUCCUCAUCCUCGUUCAAAGGUGACUCCGCCCUAGGGCGAACAACUUUCGAAGAAGCGUCAACCCGAGACGUAGACCGUGCUAGGGAAUGUGCCGCCGCCGACUCAACUGAAGUCGCCCUCAAAACUGGACAUGGAAUCGGCGCCAUAACCAGCCGUGCAGUCGCACCCAGCCUGCGGAAAGAAAGUUGAGGAGUUCUCACACGGCGCACCCCCCCGAUCAACAAAAGAGAAGAAUUAAAAGGAGAAAAACUCAGCACGAGUGAAUGGAAAUGACACAAUAACUCAAAACACUCACAAGAAGCGAGCCUACGGCCGUGUCUUUCCCAGAAGGACGUCCAUGUACGAAUCCCACUGUCUGAGAGAGUAUAGCCUCGACCCAUUCACUAAUGCUGGGUAAAAGAGCUGGUGGUGCCCGCUCAGCUACAAACACAAGGUAGAGUCAACACUUAUCGGAACAAAGAACAAGAAAGAACGGAAGGCAGAAUUAGACAAAUGGAAAACUUAUGUAUAUGGUUCCAAGUCUCCGGGAACCCCACAACAUUCGCAACCAAAUGCUCGGUCCUGAUGUAGAAAAAAUUCUCGUAAGUACGAUGGAAGGCAGAAUCCGACGAAUGGAAAACUUACGUAUAUUGUUCUAAGUCUCUGGGUACCCCGCAGCAUUCGCAACCAAAUGCUCGGUCCUAAUGUAGAAAAAAGUUGUAAGUACGACAAUCGACCGCAUCAUCCAACUCCACAGUCAGACCCCACGAGGGAUUCGAAUCAUGGUACCACGGACCCUCUGAGGGGGAUACAGAGUCAGCACGUGCCGUAGCGUUAUUUCUCUUCGGGCCAAUUCUGCGUACUUGGCAAGCAUGGAAAAAGCUUGUGUUGACCAGGGCACACUUCAUAAUAACGACAAAAAAUCCGCUACCAACGCCGGAAGGGGAAGCUUGACCCCUAAUCUGAAAGGGUAAGCGUAGAAAAUGCAAUAUCCAGGGCGGUCGAUGUGAACCCUUUCCUCGCUCCUGGCAAGGAAGAUGUCGGCAGAACGAGGGAUACCCCAUUGCUCCCUUAAUUGGGCGAUGCCCACCUUCCCCACUUGUGGGGCCUCAUUGACCUGGUCCUCCCCCUCAUCGGUAGUAAAGUCAGUUACCAGACCAUUGGGCAAAGAGAGAAUAUCAACCGCCGAUGGGACCCUACCGAUAUCCACCGAUUCGGUGGCCCUCGCCACCAUUGAAAACCCAUCAAUCGCUGGAAAAAUUGCCAGGUUAAGGUCUAAGUGAGAACUGCUUGCCAUCACUGAUUACCGUGCAAUGAGUGAAUAAGGUUCACCUAAGAAGGAGAAAAGAUGGAGCUUAAGUGAAAGAAGACAAAGAACAACACAAAUUAACAAAGAAAAAGAGUGAGAGAAGUUGCUUCUGCAGAAAUCUUACUUAAACAGAUGCUGAAAAGUGAGAAAUGGAUGAUAUAACUCAUUGUUUAUACUGCAAAAGUGGCUUUCAUAAAUUCCAAAAGCCAUCAUUAACUACAUCACCAACUGCAAAACGGUUCGAAUCCACAAUAACAAGUGUUAUAAUGACAGAUAUCACGAAAUGGCUUUGCAGCCAUCAAUGAAUUCCAAAAGCCAUCAUUAAAUGCAUAACCAACCGCAAAACGGUUUGAAUCCGCAGUAACGUGUGUCAUUAUGACAGAUAUCACGAAACAACUUUGCAACCGUCAAUCGACACUUCGCCUUCGAAUCGAGUUUAACGACCUGGGUAUGUUUGAAGGACGUCCAGUACGCCUCCAUACACCGAGCACCAUUGCAGUGCACAUCAAGCGCACCCAUAUCCGAAGCAGCCUCCUGCGGGAAUACAUUUCCCUAGAUAAAAACAUCAUACGACCAUCUUCCAAGAAUAAAUGACUACGACCGUCUCCUAAAUAUAAACGGCUACGACCAUCCUCCAAUUAUAAAUGGAUACGGCCAUCUUCCAAGUAUAAACGGCUACGGCCAUCUUUCAAGUAUAAAUGGCUACGGUCAUCCUCCAAGUUUAAGUGGCUACGACCGCUUCCUAAAAAUAUAAAUGAUUACGACCAUCUCCUAAGUAUAAAUGGCUACGGCCAUCCACCAAGUGAAAGUGGCUACGGUCUUCUCCCAAGCAUAACUGGCUACUGCCACCUCCCAUGUAUAAAUGGCUACGUCCAUCCCUAAGUAUAACUGGCCACGGCCACAUCAAAACAAAAAAUGGCUACGACCACCUCUUAAGUAUAAACGGCUACGGCCAUCUUCAAAGCAUAAACAACUACGGUCGUCCUAGGUCACGGCCGAAACGACAUCCGAUCCCCGCUUCCGAAUCUGUUGAAUCAUAUUCGGUAAAGUCCGUUCAUCGAGUUCGACAAGAUCUCGACCUCAAUAAGCGGAGGGACUAACUGUAUGGGUCAAAAUCUUACUUGUGAUUAUUAAUGAGAUUAAUUCGCUCUUAAGCAUAUUCAGGAUAAUAAAUGGCUCAACCAUUCAUUACUAAUAAGCACUUAAAAGCCACCCAGUUUAAUCAAUGAGGCCACGGCCUACUCGUUAACAACGAGCGUCCCCUCAACAUGAUCACGGCAACCCAAUGCCAGCUGGCAAGAUUCAUAGCCAUAAAUACUAAGAGAAAGAACCCUAAGAGAGGGGGCUACUUCUUCUUCUUCUUCACUUCCACUUCUCAAAGAAGAGAAUACCAUUGUAAGGCUCUCAACCUCUCAAUGGAGAGGUAAUUAUCAAUAAAAGAUCUUUACCUCCCUCUCCUUAACAAAUAACAGUUGUCUCUUGUGUUUUUUAUUUGGUCUCUUGAUUUAUUACUAUCUACUAUGAUUGACCCCCGAUUUAAUUUUAUUGUUUUGUACUCGCAAAGUAUGUGCUAACUUUGAGUUAAACACUUCCUUAAAAAAUCCUUAAGCAAAUAAACAAAAUACAAAAUCAAUAAACUCCUCUAAGAAAUUACACCUUGUUAUUUGGCAAACCAUCACAAAAGAAAAGGUUGAGGGUGGUCUAGGCAUACACUCAGCUUCUUCAAAAAACCUAACCUUACUAACAAGCCUCGCUUGGAGGCUCCUUAAAAAUUCCUCCUCCCCUUGGGAUCAACUUAUAACAAGGAAAUAUGCCCAUAAAAAGUCAAAGAACAACACCUCCGUUAUUUGGACAACUCUUCUCAAAAGUUGAAAAAUAAGUAUAUAGCAGACUUACAUCAUCCAACAGCAGAUGGUCACCGUGAUAAUCAAAGUUAGGUGCAACCUACAUCACAUAUUACAAUCAAUCACAGUAAAGUAAAGCGGAAAUCUAACAGGGAAGACAUUAAUGAAACAAGAAAAGAACAUACAGAUUAGUAGAAGGGCCUCUAUUGUAGCAAUUCUGGUGCACAAAGAUGCAAUAACCCCAAUUAUAACAAAUAUUAGAGUUGUUACCAGAAAUCCCAUUUUUGCUUUGGAUCUAAACCAAAGGGGUACCGGUAGCCUACAUUAGGGUGAUUAGAUGCAUGUAUGAAGGAGCUAAAAUUCAGAUUAGGACAGUAGGAGGCGAUUCUGAGUAUUUUUCAGUUGUUACGGGGUUGCACCUAGGGUCUGCAGUCAGCCCUUUUCUUUUUGCCCUGGUGAUGGAUGCCAUAACGCAUCAUAUUCAAGGGGAAGUGCCAUGGUGCAUGCUAUUUGCUGAUGAUAUAGUCCUAAUUGACAAGACACGACGUGACGUCAAUGAAAGGCUAGAGGUUUGGAGACAUGCCCUUGAGUCUAAAGGUUUCAGGUUGAGCGGGACGAAGACGGAAUAUCUCGAGUGCAAAUUUGGGGCUGAGCCGACGGAAACGGGAGUGGAAGUGAGGCUCGACUCUCAAAUAAUCCCUAAGAGGAGUAGUGUCAAGUACCUUGGGUCAGUUAUUCAGAGGAUUGGGGUAAUCGACGAGGAUGUCACACACCGUAUAGGGGUGGAUUGGAUGAAGUGAAGGUUAGCGUCGGGAGUCCUGUAUGACAAGAAAGUUACACUGUUACUAAAAGGUAAGUUUUAUAAAGCAGUGGUUAGGCCUGCAAUGUUGUAUGGGACCGAGUGUUCCCAGUUAAGAACUCAAAAACCCAAAAGAUGAAGGUAGCAGAGAUGAGGAUGGUGAGGUGGAUGUGUGGGCAUACAAGGAUGGAUACGAUUAGGAAUGAAGAUAUUCGUGAGAAGGUGGGUGUGGCCACCAUAGAGGACAAGAUGAGGGAAGUAAGACUCAGAUAGUCUGAGCAUAUUCAGAGGAGGAGCACUGAUGCACCGGUGAGAAGGUGUGAGGGACUAGCUGUGGUGGGCAUGAUGAGAGGUAGAGGGAGCAGGGGACAAGAUGCAGGAAGCAAGACUCAAAUAGUUUGGGCACAUUCAGAGGAGGAGCACUAAUGCACCGGUGAGAAGGUGUGAGCGACUGGCUGUGGUGGGCAUGAGGAGAGGUAAAGGGAGACCUAAGAAGUAUUGGGGAGAGGUGAUAAGGCAUGACCUAGUGCGUCAUAGAAUUACUGAGGACAUGGCCCUUGAUUGGGGAUUGUGGAGGUCGAGCAUUAAAGUUGUAGGUUAGAGGAAGUUGUGGAUAUUUCUACAGCGCGCUAGAGUGAGACUAGCUAGUAUGAGGUAAUCUUAGGAUGUUACUGAUCAAUUACCGAUUCAAGGAGUUAUCUAUGGGAUAUUAGUAUACAUUUCAUCUAUUUCGUAUUUCUUAUAUUUCUUAUAUUGCUGAUAUUUUGUUAUUUUAUAUUAUGUUGUGUAUUUCUGUUAUUUUUAGUAUGAGUGUAUUGUUAGUACUAACUUAUCGUCUCUUGUCUCUUGUUGAUGUCUUGAGACGAGGGUCUCCUGGAAACAUCCUCUCUGCCCCUCGGGGUUGGGGUAAGGUCUGCGUACAUAUUACCCUUCCCAGACCCCACUUGUGGAUUAUACUGGAUUUAGCCUCUCUGCUCCUGGGUAGGGGUAAGGUUUGCGUACAUAUUAUCCUCCCCAGACUCCACUUGUGGGAUUAUACUGGAUUAUUGUUGUAUCUAAACCAACAAUCUCUGAGGUGCCUCUUAUUCUCUGAACUACCAAAAAAAUGGAUUUUUAUAGUUCAACAAACAACCGCACAAAAAAAGAACCCAUUUUUAUUGGUAAAUUGGAAGUUAUUUAUUUGUAUAUCAAAAGGCACAGUGAACACUAAUCAAUAUUAACAUUAUUCCAAAAUUCAAAAUUAAGAAUCAAUUUGGAAACAGGCACAUAAUAUGAAUUUGAUGUAUACUGCAGAAAUUGAUUGAAAAAAUAGCGAAAAUAUACAGAAAAUACGUACAGCUAAUGAGAGAAACAGAGAGAAGUUGAAGAAGCUCGAUCCGAAGUAGAAUUGUGGUGGAUGAAUC
This 6688-nucleotide long non-coding RNA is filed under the name Nicotiana benthamiana. Its description in RNAcentral is "long non-coding RNA (NBEN_LNC033544)". Lineage: Eukaryota; Viridiplantae; Streptophyta; Magnoliopsida; Solanales; Solanaceae. The record is from RNAcentral.